RNAcentral lists this ribosomal RNA (499 nucleotides) under uncultured bacterium. RNAcentral describes it as "partial 16S ribosomal RNA". It matches the Rfam family "Bacterial small subunit ribosomal RNA", at positions 28 to 507 of the family's 1533-position model. The record is from RNAcentral.
GAUGAACGCUGGCGGCGUGCCUAAUACAUGCAAGUCGAGCGAACGGACGAGAGUGCUUGCACUCUCUGACGUUAGCGGCGGACGGGUGAGUAACACGUGGGUAACCUACCUAUAAGACUGGGAUAACUUCGGGAAACCGGAGCUAAUACCGGAUAAUAUUUAGCUUCGCAUGAAGCAAUAGUGAAAGACGGUUCUGCUGUCACUUAUAGAUGGACCCGCGGUGUAUUAGCUAGUUGGUGAGGUAACGGCUCACCAAGGCAACGAUACAUAGCCGACCUGAGAGGGUGAUCGGCCACACUGGGACUGAGACACGGCCCAGACUCCUACGGGAGGCAGCAGUAGGGAAUCUUCCGCAAAGGACGAAAGUCUGACGGAGCAAUGCCGCGUGAGUGAAGAAGGUUUUCGGAUCGUAAAACUCUGUUGUAAGGGAAGAACAAGUACGUUAGUAACUGAACGUACCUUGACGGUACCUUACCAGAAAGCCACGGCUAACUACAUG